CAAAAUUAGGGUCAACGCUACCUGUAGGAAGUGUCCGCAUAAAGUGCACCGCAUGGAAAUGAAGACGGCCAUUAGCUGUACCAUACUCAGGCACACAAAAAUACUGAUAGCAGUCGGCGUGUGAAUCAUUAGCCUUGCGACCCUCGGCAGCAAGAACCAUACGACCAAUAUCACGAAAAUAGUCACGCAAAGCAUUGGGAUUAUCAUAAAACGCCUCUAAUCGGUCGUCAGCCAACGUGAGAGUGUCAAA
RNAcentral lists this ribosomal RNA (250 nucleotides) under uncultured prokaryote. Its description in RNAcentral is "partial 16S ribosomal RNA". The record is from RNAcentral.